This 987-nucleotide long non-coding RNA is filed under the name Homo sapiens (human). RNAcentral describes it as "HSALNT0333495". Lineage: Eukaryota; Metazoa; Chordata; Mammalia; Primates; Hominidae. The record is from RNAcentral.
AGCUGAAGAGUGCCUUAACGCCGAGGCCCACGGCUCCAUGCGAGAGAUGCCUGUUCCUUCUCUGAUAAAUUUGGCAGCUUCACGUACCCUAAGGCCCAGAAAGGACCUGUUUCCUCAACACCCUGACCAGCACAGAACAUUGUAAUAAUGACAAUUAUCAGUCAUUUAGCUCCAACUAAGCCCCAGAUAUUGUCAUAAAUUCUUUACAUAUAUUGAGUCAUAGAAUAAUCUCAAUAAUAUAUAAGGAUGUUCAUAUAAUCCACAUUUUACAGAAAAGAAAAUUGGAGUUGUGACCGAUUAAUCACAUAAUCACAGUCGUCUAAAUCACAUAGAUUGUAGAUGGAGGAAUAAGAAUGUCAGUGCCUGUGAUUGAAUGAAAAAUGCCCCAAAAGAUAUCCAUGCUCUAAUUCUUGGAAUCUCUGAAUAUUACCUUACUUUGCACAGACCCCCAAAAGGGGGGUCUUCGGAGAAAAAGUUAAAGAUGAAGAAAUUAUCCUGGAUUAUCCAAGUGGAGCUCAAAUACCAUCACAAGUGCCUUUAAUAGGGAGAGGCACAGGGAGAUUAUACAGUUACAGAAGAGAAGAAGACAAUGUGACCACACGGACACAGAUAGAAGCAAUGCCACCACCAGCCAAGGAAUGCGAGCAGCCACCAGAGGCUGGGAAAAGGUAAGGACAUAUUCUUCCCUAGAGCCUCCGGAGGGAGCAUAGCCCUGCCAACACCUUGAUUUCAAACCAGUGAUACUGAGUUUGGACUUUUGGCCUCCAGAACUGUGAGAAAAGAAGUCACUUAUUUUAGGCCAUCAAGUUUGUGGUACUGUAAUUUGUUACAGAAGCUACAGAAAACUAAUUCAACAUCUUUAAGUGCUAUUCGGCACACUACCACAAACAACUGUUUUUGUUUUGCUGUUGUUUGCCAAUCUGAUAUGUUAAAGACAUUAUCUCACUGUAUUUCUAUAGUUUCAUUUUUUAAACUUCUUUUACUUCU